RNAcentral lists this ribosomal RNA (425 nucleotides) under uncultured bacterium. RNAcentral's name for it is "bacterial SSU rRNA". It matches the Rfam family "Bacterial small subunit ribosomal RNA", at positions 354 to 777 of the family's 1533-position model. The record is from RNAcentral.
GUGAGGAAUAUUGGUCAAUGGGCGAGAGCCUGAACCAGCCAAGUCGCGUGAGGGACGAAUGGUCUAUGGCCUGUAAACCUCUUUUGUCAAGGAAGAAUAAAUCGCACGGGUGCGAUCUUGCCAGUACUUGACGAAUAAGCAUCGGCUAACUCCGUGCCAGCAGCCGCGGUAAUACGGGGGAUGCGAGCGUUAUCCGGAUUUAUUGGGUUUAAAGGGCGCGUAGGCGGGACGUCAAGUCAGCGGUAAAAGACUGCAGCUAAACUGUAGCACGCCGUUGAAACUGGCGCCCUCGAGACGAGACGAGGGAGGCGGAACAAGUGAAGUAGCGGUGAAAUGCAUAGAUAUCACUUGGAACCCCGAUGGCGAAGGCAGCUUCCCAGGCUCGUUCUGACGCUGAUGCGCGAGAGCGUGGGUAGCGAACAGGA